Long non-coding RNA from Neopsephotus bourkii (Bourke's parrot), 336 nucleotides. RefSeq lists it as uncharacterized. The transcript is spliced from 3 exons. NCBI's taxonomy places the organism in Eukaryota, Metazoa, Chordata, Aves, Psittaciformes, Psittacidae. The record is from RefSeq and is a predicted model, not a curated record.
CCAACAGGCUGCUCAUAGAGAUUACUGUGAAAACAUCAUAUGAGUCCCUGGAGAAGCUGGAGGAGAUAUCUCACCCAGCUCAGCUGCAAUUCAACGGACCUGGUAGCUGGCUUCCCAGGGCCUCGGGCUCAGGUCUCUCAAAAGGAUGGGAAAGGACAUUCCUGGUGAAGUUAGAAGGAGCAAAAUCCCUUCAGCAUUUCCAUAAUCCUGCCCUUCCAAGGGAGUGACUUGGGUCACCUUCAGCUUCUGCUUGCUCUGUAGUGUGAAGAAGAAAGGGUCAUUUAUCCAUGGAAAAGGACCUGGAAGAAAAGCAAGGUUUUAAAGAGCACUUGUGUA